UUCCUGGUAGCUCAGUUGGUAAAGAAUCUGCCUAUAGUGCAGGAGACCCAGUUUCGAUCUCUGGGUCAGGAAG
Molecule: non-coding RNA, 73 nt
Organism: Bos taurus (domestic cattle)
Lineage: Eukaryota; Metazoa; Chordata; Mammalia; Artiodactyla; Bovidae
Source: Rfam